CUGAGCAUGCGCACUUUCACCGCUUCAUUUUUAAAAACAGUGAUAACCAAACUUGCAGUGAAAUUUAGCUCGAUCCAGAUUCCAGAACAAAGAAAAAGAGUCUUGUAUAAAAAUCCACAGAUCCAAUGUGUCUGAGGUUGAGGAAUGCAUUGCAGUAACACUUAAGCAUGCACCAGCUAGCUCAAAAAGAUGGACCAAGAUAUAAAAAGAGACCUGAAACCAACACAAGACCAGCUGAUCAGAGGGCAGAAAACCAAAAUUUGGAAUGACAUGUAUACAACCAACACAAGACUAAAAUUUGGAAUAAAAAUUAAAAAAUUCAGAAACAUAUUAUUAUUUUUUUAUUGGUUCAUGAAGCCAAGAAAAAAGAAGUCUUAACUUUUGGAUAGGUCUAUCUCUAGUUGGUCAAUGGAAAAAAGCAACAGUUAGUUUGAUUGUAUUUCAGGUAUUUUCUUCAUUUGGGAUAUUUUUAGAAGUGUAUAAGUUGUGUAGAAUAUAUAUUUGUAAAUUAGACAGUCAGCUUUUGGGCCUUUUUCCAAACUUUUUUCCUAGCUUGUCAUUGUGUAGUGAAUCCAGCUGAAUGAAUCUACAGUAAAUAUUAAGGUAUAUGUGGUAGUUUGUUGUAUUUCUGAAUAACUCAUUAGAAAAUGUUUUCCUUCGUUAAAGUGAAAUCUACAUUCUAGAAUUUCCACCAUCAUAGUGAAAUCUAUAUUCUAGAACACUGAAACCCUAAACAUUCAGAAGUUGCAGCAUGUACCAAGAUGUCAUGUUGAAGGCUGUACAGUUACCUAUAAUUGCUAACAUCAUCAAUAUUUGAUUUUAGGAUAGAGGGUUGUCUCGUUGGCCAUCAUACAAAAUCUCCUUUUUCGAAUAGUAUUAUGUGUUAAAUUUUUUAAAGAAAAGUUGCUUUUGUUAAAUGGAAAUGUGUAAAUCUUGUACUUCAGUAUUGCAAAAGUUAAAAACUAAGACUUUAACCUUAAACAACUGUGUGAAACAUUAAUUGGACAAAACUACAGGUUUAAUGUAAAUUAUAAUGCAAAGUUUUUGGGAA
This is a long non-coding RNA of Mytilus californianus (California mussel), 1051 nucleotides long. RefSeq lists it as uncharacterized. The record is from RefSeq and is a predicted model, not a curated record. Lineage: Eukaryota; Metazoa; Mollusca; Bivalvia; Mytilida; Mytilidae. The transcript has 3 exons.